RNAcentral lists this ribosomal RNA (492 nucleotides) under uncultured bacterium. RNAcentral's name for it is "partial 16S ribosomal RNA". It matches the Rfam family "Bacterial small subunit ribosomal RNA", at positions 29 to 507 of the family's 1533-position model. The record is from RNAcentral.
AGUGAACGCUGGCGGUAGGCCUAACACAUGCAAGUCGAACGGCAGCACAGUAAGAGCUUGCUCUUACGGGUGGCGAGUGGCGGACGGGUGAGGAAUACAUCGGAAUCUACUUUUUCGUGGGGGAUAACGUAGGGAAACUUACGCUAAUACCGCAUACGACCUACGGGUGAAAGCAGGGGAUCUUCGGACCUUGCGCGAUUGAAUGAGCCGAUGUCGGAUUAGCUAGUUGGCGGGGUAAAGGCCCACCAAGGCGACGAUCCGUAGCUGGUCUGAGAGGGUGAUCGGCCACACUGGAACUGAGACACGGUCCAGACUCCUACGGGAGGCAGCAGUGGGGAAUAUUGGGCAAUGGGCGCAAGCCUGACCCAGCCAUACCGCGUGGGUGAAGAAGGCCUUCGGGUUGUAAAGCCCUUUUGUUGGGAAAGAAAAGCAGCAGGUUAAUACCCCGCUGUUCUGACGGUACCCAAAGAAUAAGCACCGGCUAACUUCGUG